This 1107-nucleotide ribosomal RNA is filed under the name Triticum aestivum (bread wheat). RNAcentral's name for it is "partial small subunit ribosomal RNA". Lineage: Eukaryota; Viridiplantae; Streptophyta; Magnoliopsida; Poales; Poaceae. The record is from RNAcentral.
AUGCCGUGCUGCGGGGAAAGCGAUCCUCCCCAUGAGGCCAUCAGGGUCCUAUCCCAACCCCAGCGCCACGGCUCGCACGGUUCGUCAAUUGGUUCGAUUUGGGGGUUCCGGCCGGGGUCUGAAUGCCUGACCGGGGCCGGGGAUUUGAGCGCAGGGAGGAAGCCCUGGAGGUGUGUCAGGUUAAUCGUCAUGCUGCUGCAUGCGCUCUUCAUCGGCGCCGUCUUCCUGCUCGAUCCGGCCCUCCGGAGCCAAAUCCGCCAGGACCAGUGGUACAUGUGUUUAUAUGGAGGGCUGGUGUUGUUUACCUUGGCGCAAUACCUAUAUACAGCUAAUUCAUCACCAGGGUAUGUGGCUGAUAUGUUGAAGGCUGGAUCAGCGAUGCACGCAACCUUCAUUAAUACAACGACAAUCUCAAAACAGGUCUGUUCAAAAAACGGGAGCUUAAAUUAUUUCAUGAGCCGCAGCAAAAUAGAGCAACACAACCCACAAUCUGCUACACCUUCGUCGCUUUUGCAAAUGAUGGAUCUAUAUCCUCCUGGAUCAUCCAGCAGGGAUUUGACCUGCUCUUACUGCCAUCUCAUUCAGCCACCACGAACCAAGCAUUGUCAUGAUUGUGACAAGUGUAUUCUCCAAUUUGAUCAUCACUGUACAUGGCUUGGAACAUGCAUUGGCAUUAGGAAUCAUUGCCGUUUUUGGUGGUACAUAUUUGGACAAGCAAGUUUAGUUAUUUGGACUGUUGCUCUCUACAUCCAGUUCUUACAUGUGGAUAUGAACGGGUCCUGGUUGAAGGGUUUGACUGGCUUAACACUGUUGCUGCCGUUGAUAGUAAUCCUCAUAGUUUUGCUGAUCUUACUCAUGUUGCAUACUUACCUUGCUCUUACGAACCAAACGACAUAUGAAAUUGCCAGAUGGAAGCGAAUAUCUUACCUAAGGGGAGUUCCUAGAAAGGUGCAUCCUUUCAGCAAAGGUAUCUGCAGGAACCUCUAUGACCUCUGCCUCUCUAGACAGAAGGGAUAUGUUCUGGAAGCAGUACCCCCACUGGACGAACUAGAAGCCCGGGCUAGACCCUACACCUGCCGAGAUGUAAUCUGCUGCCGGUGCUGCUAG